AGAUAGGCAUUAGAGAUUCUGAUUCCGGAUCAAAGAAUCCUGAUAUCAAAAAUAAUGCAUCUGAUAUUGACUUGACAAACUCUUCUAUCAAGAAAAAUGACUUCAAUUUGUACAAAUUAGGCACAGUAAACCAAGAAAUAAUUACAACUAAAGGUGCUUCUGUCACGAUGCAUUGUAGUGCAUUGACUGACGAGUUCCCUGAUAUCGAAUGGUUUAAUAAUAGCAAUAUGUUGAUAACUGAUGGUAAGUUCACUUUGGAUUCACAAAAACCAGUUAAUAAAUAAUCUAACCAUUAAAUUGUCAAUUUUAGAGAGAAUUAUGAUAAGUUAUACUAAUGUAUCGCAAUCGCAUUCAUCACAAUUAACCAUAUCAGAUGUCGCGAAAUGGGACGAAGGUGACUACAGUUGCGAAGGAACGAUGGAUGAUGGUCUUAUUAUUGGAAAUUUUUAUCACUUGCAGGUCAAUGCCCCUGCUGUGAUUUCAGUUUCGGUUAUAUUGCAGUUAUCAAUAAUACUGCCAUAUAUUUUAUGUUGUUGAUGUUGUUA
Cotesia glomerata is the source of this 545-nucleotide long non-coding RNA. RefSeq lists it as uncharacterized. The record is from RefSeq and is a predicted model, not a curated record. Lineage: Eukaryota; Metazoa; Arthropoda; Insecta; Hymenoptera; Braconidae. The transcript has 3 exons.